CGCGGUUAUUCUGGAGACGGAUGUUAUCAUGAACACAAGGUAAUCGCGGUAUCGUUUGUGUUCUCACUUCAUUCACUCAUUUUAUAUAUCAGAAAUUACAGUAAUCGAAUGAGCACGAUGGCGGAGAAUGAAUUAUUUCACAAACAAACAAUGUCUAUAAUGACGCUGAUGACUGAAACAGUUCGAGACGAGAUUCGAAAAGUUUUUGACUGUGAAUGUCGUCCAUUCCACACUGACAUUAGUUGUGACAGAGAUGCGAUAUUGGACAUGAAUAAGAACCAACGCAGACUGGCAAAGCUCACAGCUUUGAUGGAGACCUUUACCAAGGUGGCUGUUCAAAAAAUAUGUAAAGUCUUCAGUUAUUGCUUUGCGCUUAAGCCAACUCAGCUGAAGAGUUUUAAAGGUUACCAUGACGAUGUAAUAAAUGUAAAAGAGUUGGUGAAGGAGCAUGUGAAAAAAACAGAAAGAAAAAACAAUCAAACUGUCAAAGUUGUGCCUGAUUCUGCAGCUGUAGCUCCAUCAGUGUCUCUGGAGAGACCGAAUUUGCUCACUGCGUUACCUGAAGAAAACAUACAACCACAAGAUUCUGUUAAAAGCCAGCAGUGUGCAGAGGAGGGUCACGUUUCUAAAUUUCAUCCCGAAUCAUCAAGUAGUGGACAAGAGAACCCAGUGCAACCAUGUUUUAUAAGCAGCGGACCACAUCAACAUUAAAACAAUAAUUCUAGAC
This 727-nucleotide long non-coding RNA is filed under the name Sinocyclocheilus anshuiensis. RNAcentral's name for it is "lncRNA (ENSSANG00000011551.1)". Lineage: Eukaryota; Metazoa; Chordata; Actinopteri; Cypriniformes; Cyprinidae. The record is from RNAcentral.